This 253-nucleotide ribosomal RNA is filed under the name uncultured bacterium. RNAcentral's name for it is "partial 16S ribosomal RNA". It matches the Rfam family "Bacterial small subunit ribosomal RNA", at positions 524 to 776 of the family's 1533-position model. The record is from RNAcentral.
UACAGAGGGUGCAAGCGUUAAUCGGAAUUAUUGGGCGUAAAGGGCAUGUAGGUGGCGAUUUAAGUCUGAUGUGAAAGCCCUGGGCUUAACCUGGGAAUUGCGUUGGAAACUGGAUAGCUAGAGUCGGACAGAGGGCCGUGGAAUUUCCGGUGUAGCAGUGAAAUGCGUAGAGAUCGGAAAGAACACCCGUGGCGAAGGCGGCGGCCUGGGACCAGACUGACACUGAGGUGCGAAAGCAUGGGGAGCAAAAGGG